GCGCAGCCUGACGGAGCACGCCGCGUGAGUGAUGAAGGUUUUCGGAUCGUAAAGCUCUGUUGCCAAGGAAGAACGCCUCGGAGAGUAACUGCUCUGAGGGUGACGGUACUUGAGAAGAAAGCCCCGGCUAACUACGUGCCAGCAGCCGCGGUAAUACGUAGGGGGCAAGCGUUGUCCGGAAUUAUUGGGCGUAAAGCGCGCGCAGGCGGUCUUUUAAGUUUGGUGUUUAAGCCCGGGGCUCAACCCCGGUUCGCACUGAAAACUGGGAGACUUGAGUGCAGGAGAGGAAAGCGGAAUUCCACGUGUAGCGGUGAAAUGCGUAGAGAUGUGGAGGAACACCAGUGGCGAAGGCGGCUUUCUGGACUGUAACUGACGCUGAGGCGCGAAAGCGUGGGGAGCAAACAGGAUUAGAUACCCUGGUAGUCCACGCCGUAAACGAUGAGUGCUAGGUGUUAGGGGUUUCGAUACCCUUGGUGCCGAAGUAAACACAAUAAGCACUCCGCCUGGGGAGUACGCUCGCAAGAGUGAAACUCAAAGGAAUUGACGG
Molecule: ribosomal RNA, 547 nt
Filed under: uncultured Paenibacillus sp.
Lineage: Bacteria; Bacillati; Bacillota; Bacilli; Caryophanales; Paenibacillaceae
Description: bacterial SSU rRNA
Rfam family: Bacterial small subunit ribosomal RNA
Source: RNAcentral